This 65-nucleotide transfer RNA is filed under the name Dipodomys ordii (Ord's kangaroo rat). It matches the Rfam family "tRNA". Rfam says of the family: Transfer RNA (tRNA) molecules are approximately 80 nucleotides in length. The record is from Rfam by way of RNAcentral. Lineage: Eukaryota; Metazoa; Chordata; Mammalia; Rodentia; Heteromyidae.
GGUGGCUCAAUGGUAGAGUGUUUGCCUUGCAUGCAUGAGGGCCUGGGUUCGAUUCCUCAGCACCA